GAAGCCACCAGAGAUGGUGGUCUUUUUGGGCACUCGUACACAGGUGGUGCAUGGUUGUCGUCAGCUCGUGUCGUGAGAUGUUGGGUUAAGUCCCGCAACGAGCGCAACCCUCGUUCCCAUGUUGCCAGCGGGUUAUGCCGGGGACUCAUGGGAGACUGCCGGGGUCAACUCGGAGGAAGGUGGGGAUGAUGUCAAAUCAUCAUGCCCCUUAUGUUUUGGGUUUCACGCAUGCUACAAUGGCCGGUACAAAGGGCUGCGAUACCGUAAGGUGGAGCGAAUCCCAAAAAGCCGGUCUCAGUUUCGGAUUAGGGGUUUGCAACUCGACCCCAUGAAGUCGGAGUCGCUAGUAAUCGCAGAUCAGCAACGCUGCGGUGAAUACGUUUCCGGGCCUUGUACACACCGCCCGUCAAGUCUCGAAACUCGGUAACUCUUGACGGCCACACCGUAACC
RNAcentral lists this ribosomal RNA (450 nucleotides) under Cellulosimicrobium sp. HPC2. RNAcentral describes it as "bacterial SSU rRNA". It matches the Rfam family "Bacterial small subunit ribosomal RNA", at positions 993 to 1440 of the family's 1533-position model. The record is from RNAcentral. Lineage: Bacteria; Bacillati; Actinomycetota; Actinomycetes; Micrococcales; Promicromonosporaceae.